Erinaceus europaeus (western European hedgehog) is the source of this 295-nucleotide unclassified non-coding RNA. Its record names the gene 7SK. It matches the Rfam family "7SK RNA". Rfam says of the family: 7SK was discovered as an abundant small nuclear RNA in the mid-70s but a possible function has only recently been suggested. Two independent studies have found that 7SK RNA binds the CDK9/cyclin T complex (known as elongation factor P-TEFb). The record is from Ensembl. NCBI's taxonomy places the organism in Eukaryota, Metazoa, Chordata, Mammalia, Eulipotyphla, Erinaceidae.
GGAUGUGAGGGCGAUCUGGCUGCGACAUCUGUCACCCCACUGAUCACCAGGGUUGACUCAGCUGAUCUGGCUGGCUAGGCGGGUCCCCUUCCUCCCUCACCACUCCAUGUGCGUCCCUCCCGAAGCUGCACACUCAGUCGAAGAGGAUGGCCUUCCCCGAACAGAGAGAGACCAGUCUUCAGUCAAGGGUAUAUGAGUAGCUGCACUCCCCUGCUAGAACCUCCAAACAAGCUCACAAAGGGAAAAUGAAGCUUGCGUGUAUAUAUAUAUAUAUAUUUGUAAAUAUGUCCACAAU